RNAcentral lists this ribosomal RNA (31 nucleotides) under Bipolaris sp. wb569. RNAcentral describes it as "partial small subunit ribosomal RNA". Lineage: Eukaryota; Fungi; Ascomycota; Dothideomycetes; Pleosporales; Pleosporaceae. The record is from RNAcentral.
GUCUCCGUAGUGACCUGCGGAGGGAUCAUUA